RNAcentral lists this long non-coding RNA (346 nucleotides) under Anas platyrhynchos platyrhynchos (common mallard). RNAcentral describes it as "lncRNA (ENSAPLG00000029111.1)". Lineage: Eukaryota; Metazoa; Chordata; Aves; Anseriformes; Anatidae. The record is from RNAcentral.
UGCAAAUCUACUGAUGCUGAAUGCAUGGUGAAAAUCAUGGACUUCCUUUCUUGAAUGCUGCCUUCAAAUCUAAAUUAAAGAAAGGAGAAAAACACCCUGCAGAAGCUCAGUGUCUCAUAAUAAAAGGCUGAACCAAGACCUCAUAACUCACAUUUCAAUCAGUCACAAAGGGAAAGAUUUAGAACAUUCAUUUAAAAAUAUUUGUCUUUUUUCUCUCUCGGUAAUUUCCUAGCAAUUUCUUACAGUCAUGAGGAAAUGCCUAAUAUAUAUAUAUUUGCUUCAGUGUACACAGAUUUUUGUACAAAAUUCUGAAGUCUGUCAAUGUUUACUGACUGUAUAGUACUGU